Long non-coding RNA from Nymphaea colorata (pocket water lily), 636 nucleotides. RefSeq lists it as uncharacterized. NCBI's taxonomy places the organism in Eukaryota, Viridiplantae, Streptophyta, Magnoliopsida, Nymphaeales, Nymphaeaceae. The record is from RefSeq and is a predicted model, not a curated record. The transcript has 6 exons.
ACUUCUUUUUCCCGCGAGAUCCAGGGAUGGAAAGCACGCUCUCUCUCUCUCUGGGAGCGAGGCUGGAUCCUCGAUGGCGCGGACGAUGGAAGAAGGACGCAGACUGCGGGCGUGGGUUGCCGCAGUUCAUCAUUCGGAAUUGCCAGCAGCAGCUCCCAUGACCCAUCCAUCAUCCUCCGCUGGACCAGAUUCUCCACUUGCCUACGGUGGUAGAAAUUUGGUAGAUUUGGCUGUUUCAGAGCGUAUUCAAAGACUGGUGCUGGUGGUGUACGUUUGAAGGAAGGGAAAUAUAAUAAUAAAAGCUUAAUGGCCAUUGGAAAUGUUAUUAACAGACUUAGUGAUAGUGGUGUUAGGAAAAGAGGACAUAUUCCUUACUGUGAUAGCAAGCUCACCGCAAUUCUUCAGCCUGCUCUUGGUGGCAAUGUAAAGACUUCCAUUCUCUGUAUUGUUGCAUCUGAAGAGGUUCAUGUUGAUGAAACAAGGGGGACUUUCCAGUUUGCUGGUAGAGCUAAGCGCAUCACAAAUUGUGUUCAAGUGAAUGAGGUACGCUCCUCUUAACACAAGUGAAUUGCUAGAAACAAUUGCAAGACAAAGGAUUGAUACAUUUGAAGCCAGUGUCACAAGAACUACAGUAAG